This 383-nucleotide ribosomal RNA is filed under the name uncultured bacterium. RNAcentral describes it as "bacterial SSU rRNA". It matches the Rfam family "Bacterial small subunit ribosomal RNA", at positions 28 to 399 of the family's 1533-position model. The record is from RNAcentral.
GACGAACGCUGGCGGCGUGCUUAACACAUGCAAGUCGAGCGAGAACCAGUCCCUUCGGGACGUGGGGACGAGCGGCGAACGGGUGAGUAACACGUGGGUAAUCUGCCCUCGAUUCUGGGAUAGCCCGGGGAAACCCGGAUUAAUACCGGAUAGCCUCUCGAGCUUACGAGCUCUUGAGAAAAGGUAGCUUCGGCCUCCGAUCGAGGAUGAGCCCGCGGCGGAUUAGCUAGUUGGGGGGGUUAAAGUGGCCUACCAAGGCAACGAUCCGUAGCUGGUCUGAGAGGACGAUCAGCCACACUGGGACUGAGACACGGCCCAGACUCCUACGGAGGCAGCAGUGGGGAAUCUUGCGCAAUGGGCGAAAGCCUGACGCAGCGACGCCG